GUUUUUUUUCUUUUUUCUUCUUUCUCUUUUCGUUCCCCUCCCUUCAUCUUCCUUCUUCCUCUUCCGGUUCUCCUAGCCCUCUUCAACGCCGCCGCUGUCCUCUUGGCCGACGGUAGCAAGUGGGCUAGGAAGGGCCUAGGUCGGCCGCCGCCGUUGUAGGUGCAACUUGGGUCGGUGGCUGCCAGAGGGAUCAAAUCGUAAACGCAGCAAAGGUUUUUGGGGCCAAAGUGUAAUUUAGAGAAAAUAUUUGGGUCAAAAUGUAAUUUUGAGAAAUUGUGGGGGUCAAAUUGUAAUUUAUAAAAGUUACGGGGUUAAAAUAUACUUUUCAAAAAGUUAGGGUCAAAAUACUUUCUUUUUUUUGAAAAAAAAAAAACAUGAAACUUCCCGGACAAACUUCAAUCAUAUAUCUAUGAAAGUAGCUAAA
Molecule: long non-coding RNA, 424 nt
Organism: Gossypium raimondii (Peruvian cotton)
Lineage: Eukaryota; Viridiplantae; Streptophyta; Magnoliopsida; Malvales; Malvaceae
Exons: 2
Source: RefSeq, a predicted model, not a curated record